RNAcentral lists this transfer RNA (73 nucleotides) under Ailuropoda melanoleuca (giant panda). It matches the Rfam family "tRNA". From Rfam's summary of the family: Transfer RNA (tRNA) molecules are approximately 80 nucleotides in length. Their secondary structure includes four short double-helical elements and three loops (D, anti-codon, and T loops). Lineage: Eukaryota; Metazoa; Chordata; Mammalia; Carnivora; Ursidae. The record is from Rfam by way of RNAcentral.
ACCUGGCUGGCUCAGUCAAUGGAGCAUGAAACUCUUAAUCUCAGGGUUGUGGUUUCAAGCCCCACACUGGGUG